RNAcentral lists this ribosomal RNA (474 nucleotides) under uncultured bacterium. RNAcentral's name for it is "bacterial SSU rRNA". It matches the Rfam family "Bacterial small subunit ribosomal RNA", at positions 30 to 496 of the family's 1533-position model. The record is from RNAcentral.
AUUGAACGCUGGCGGCAUGCUUUACACAUGCAAGUCGAACGGGGUGAGGAGCUUGCUCCUCAUCUAGUGGCGAACGGGUGAGUAAUACAUCGGAACGUACCGUGUAGUGGGGGAUAACGUAGCGAAAGUUACGCUAAUACCGCAUACGAUCCACGGAUGAAAGCAGGGGACCUUCGGGCCUUGUGCUAUACGAGCGGCCGAUGUCUGAUUAGCUAGUUGGUGGGGUAAAGGCCCACCAAGGCAACGAUCAGUAGCGGGUCUGAGAGGAUGAUCCGCCACACUGGGACUGAGACACGGCCCAGACUCCUACGGGAGGCAGCAGUGGGGAAUUUUGGACAAUGGGCGCAAGCCUGAUCCAGCCAUGCCGCGUGUCUGAAGAAGGCCUUCGGGUUGUAAAGGACGUUUGUCUAGGGAGGCGAAAACCCAGCAGCUAAUAUCUGUUGGGGAUGAGAGUACCUGAAGAAUAAGCACCGG